This 77-nucleotide transfer RNA is filed under the name Alphaproteobacteria bacterium. RNAcentral's name for it is "tRNA-Ala". It matches the Rfam family "tRNA". From Rfam's summary of the family: Transfer RNA (tRNA) molecules are approximately 80 nucleotides in length. The record is from RNAcentral. Lineage: Bacteria; Pseudomonadati; Pseudomonadota; Alphaproteobacteria.
GGGGCAGUAGCUCAACUGGGAGAGCGUCGGGCUGGCAGUCCGAAGGUUGUGGGUUCAAUCCCCAUCUGUCUCCACCA